This 234-nucleotide long non-coding RNA is filed under the name Lathyrus oleraceus (garden pea). RNAcentral describes it as "Pisum sativum (pea) long non-coding RNA (PSAT_LNC036797)". The record is from RNAcentral. Lineage: Eukaryota; Viridiplantae; Streptophyta; Magnoliopsida; Fabales; Fabaceae.
UAAUAGCUGCCAAACCCCAACCUCCAUAAAAUCCACGACCCCUAGAAAAAGCAGAGACCUGUUACGGGUAUCUGUAACAGCUGUUACGGUUCGUAACAGGGCCUAACGUGAACAUUUUCAAAAAAAAAUUAAAACCAUCUCCCCUACUCAUCAUUCUACCACCUAUCUCACACCCAAUCAGUUCCAUUUAAUAUCCAUUAAAUAAACUAAAAUUUAUUCUUAACCACAUCUCAU